UACUGGUCAGGAUUCCACCUUCAGCUGAAGGGAAGUAUGUAAAAAAAAAAAACCAAAAAGGUAAAAAAGAAUGUAAUCAUACACCUCUCACCAUUGAUGCCCCGGAUGAAAUCAGGAUUUUAUCUACAAGAGAAUGAAUUAUUACUCAACAUGUAACAUCUGCCUUAUGUGUAUGACCCUAAGAAAUUCACUAUGGCAACAACCUGAGAGAACAUUGAAACGGUCAUCCUAUUGGAUCCAAAAAAGAAAAGGACCGCUAAACAGAGAGGUGAAAGAUCUCGCCCAGGAUCACACAGCUAACCAGUGACGUGAGCUGGGAUUUCAUUCUUGGGGUCUGAUUCCAAAACAUACUUUAGACAAUGAAGUUCUGUGUAAUUCCACAUUUCAGCUGAUUCGGGGUGCUUGAAAUCUGCUUCAGAGUGACGGAGAACAUAGCUCAUCUCAGAA
Long non-coding RNA from Peromyscus eremicus (cactus mouse), 447 nucleotides. RefSeq lists it as uncharacterized. The transcript has 2 exons. NCBI's taxonomy places the organism in Eukaryota, Metazoa, Chordata, Mammalia, Rodentia, Cricetidae. The record is from RefSeq and is a predicted model, not a curated record.